AAGGAUUAAUAAAAUAAAUUAAUAAUAUAUUAAUAUAAAUCAUGUACUGUAGAGGAAAUAAUAAGUUAUAUAAUAGUAAUUAUUUGUAUCUUUUGCAUAAGCGUUAAAUUAUAAUAAAUUAUAAUUGUUAAUAACCCGAAAAUAAAAGAGCUAACUAUAUUUUCUUUUUAGAAUACAUAAUUUAUGUGGCAACAUAAAUGUAAUAAAUUAUAGUUAGAAAUGAAAAAUUAUUCAAUUUUAUGGAUAUCUGGAAAAUGAAGAAAAGCAUUUAGUGCUAUUAAAAUAUAUUUAAAUUAUUUUUUAAGUGAUUAGAUUUAAAAAUUAAAGAAAUUUUUAAUUUAUUAUAUACUUUGGAAUAAUUUUCAAUUUUAAUUUAUAUAAUUAAAUUUUUUAAUAUAAAUUUCUUUUAUAUAUUCAUUAUAAUUUAAGAUUCAUUUUAAAUUAUUAUAAUGUUUAAAUUAGUAUUAAAUUAUAUUUAAUUAAUUUUUAUUUUUAACAAUAUAAAAAGAAUUCGGCAAAUAUUCUUUUCAACUGUUUAACAAAAACAUAGUCUUAAGAAAAUAUUUAAGAUAUUGUCUGCUCAAUGUAUAUUAAUAUAAAUUGCCGCAGUACUCUGACUGUGCAAAGGUAGCAUAAUAAUUUGUCCUUUAAUUAAGGUCUUGAAUGAAUGGCUUUAUGGAAAGAAACUGUUUCUUAUAUUUUUUAUAAAACUUACUUUUUAAGUGAAAAAGCUUAAAUAACCUUGGAGGACGAGAAGACCCUAUGAAUUGAUAAUAAAAUCAUUUAAUAUUUUUAUUUCUUUGUUGGGGCAACAAGAAAACAAAAAACUUUUCUUUUUAUAAUAAAUUAAUAAAACAGAUUUUACAAAAAAGAAACAAUUACCAUAGGGAUAACAGCAUAAUUUUGAAAAAAGUUUGUGACCUCGAUGUUGGACUAGGAAUUAUAUGGAUUAAAAGUUCAUACGUAACCC
This 970-nucleotide ribosomal RNA is filed under the name Valvata mergella. Its description in RNAcentral is "partial large subunit ribosomal RNA". The record is from RNAcentral. Lineage: Eukaryota; Metazoa; Mollusca; Gastropoda; Valvatidae.